UUGGAGGGCAAGUCUGGUGCCAGCAGCCGCGGUAAUUCCAGCACCAAUAGCGUAUAUUAAAGUUGUUGCAGUUAAAAAGCUCGUAGUUGAAUUUCGGGGUUCUACCGUUGGUCGGGCUAUUGUCUGUACUGGCGUGUAGAAUUUCUACCUUCUGGGGAACUAUCAUGUUAUUAAUUUAGCGUGGUAGGAAACCAGGACCUUUACCUUGAAAAAAUUAGAGUGUUCAAAGCAGGCUUAUGUCUGAAUACAUUAGCAUGGAAUAAUAAAAUAGGACGGUGGUCCUGUUUUGUUGGUUUCUGAAUCACCGUAAUGAUUAAUAGGGAUAGUUGGGGGCAUUAGUAUUCAAUUGUCAGAGGUGAAAUUCUUGGAUUUAUUGAAGACUAACUACUGCGAAAGCAUUUGCCAAGGAUGUUUUCAUUAAUCAGUGAACGAAAGUUAGGGGAUCGAAGACGAUCAGAUACCGUCGUAGUCUUAACCAUAAACUAUGCCGACUAGGGAUCGGACGAUGUUAACUUUUCUUGACUCGUUCGGCGCCUUACGGGAAA
RNAcentral lists this ribosomal RNA (545 nucleotides) under uncultured Glomeromycotina. Its description in RNAcentral is "SSU rRNA". It matches the Rfam family "Eukaryotic small subunit ribosomal RNA", at positions 548 to 1097 of the family's 1831-position model. The record is from RNAcentral. Lineage: Eukaryota; Fungi; Glomeromycota.